UUCCCCCCUCCCUUUUAAAAUUUGAAUUCCGUCUUUCUUUCGCUUUUUCACCCUCCGGGGAAGCAGCGUUUGUGCUGUUUUGCAGGUCCUUUUUUUUCCCUUUUCUUUGGAAGGCAUCUUCGGAUACUGGCAAUGCAGUUCUUGAAAAUUCGCAUUUUGCCCGAUUGUCAGGUUAGGCUGGAGUUCCUGUCGUCAAAGGCAGUUCGUUUCAUUUAUUUAUGAUUGCAGAAAUCAAUAUCCACCCUUUUAAAUACAAAUUCCCCGCCCCAGCAAACUGCGGAAGACCAACCGACAGCCAAAAAGCGAGUUCGGGUCUUCCAAAUGUAGUCCUUCCAAGGCUUUUUGCUAAAAUGAUUAAAGUAUGAUGGAAUUGACUUACAGUUGAGGGGAACCUGGAUAAUUUUUCAUGAGUUACCAGUAUUUUCAAGUACUCCAGUUGCCUUUUGGAAAAAGCAUCUUUGGGACAACUGUAACCUGGAUGAUUGAGAAUCUCCAUAGAUGACAGAGUAUAAUAUUGGUCUUGAAAUUACAUGUUGAAGGUUGCACUGAGAAUUACAGGAUUUUUAUCAAACAAUCUUAUAAAUGUUAAGUAAGAUUUUUUAAAAGAUUCUAAAUAUUGUUUAUAAAAUAGGAAUAUGAAUUACAGACAAAGCUAUAUAUUCAUUCCACCUUUUGCUGUACUUUUGUUUAUUUCAGAGUGAAUUGUGCUUUUUCAAAUGCUAGGCAGAGCCUUUUAUAACUUCUUAUGCUCCUAGUGACUACAUGGACACAUCUCUGAAGUAUUAGGUAUGUUCACCACCUUGAGUUAACUUAUAAAAGUAAUAAAGACGAGAUAAAAAUGUAAAUAAAUAA
Molecule: non-coding RNA, 852 nt
Organism: Pantherophis guttatus
Lineage: Eukaryota; Metazoa; Chordata; Lepidosauria; Squamata; Colubridae
Source: RefSeq, a predicted model, not a curated record